GGGCCGGUAGCUCAGCCUGGUUAGUGCCUGUGGGCAACUAAAGCAACGGUCUUAUAAACCGUAGGUCGCGUGUUCGAAUCGCGCCCGGCCCA
This 92-nucleotide transfer RNA is filed under the name Candidatus Aenigmatarchaeota archaeon. RNAcentral's name for it is "tRNA-Ile". It matches the Rfam family "tRNA". From Rfam's summary of the family: Transfer RNA (tRNA) molecules are approximately 80 nucleotides in length. Lineage: Archaea; Nanobdellati; Candidatus Aenigmatarchaeota. The record is from RNAcentral.